This 28-nucleotide small RNA is filed under the name Bombyx mori (domestic silkworm). RNAcentral's name for it is "ovarian small RNA-17585". The record is from RNAcentral. Lineage: Eukaryota; Metazoa; Arthropoda; Insecta; Lepidoptera; Bombycidae.
GGUUCCUGGACGGGCUAGAGGUGAUCGC